GAAUGCUGACAUAAGUAACGAUAAAGCGGGUGAAAAGCCCGCUCGCCGGAAGACCAAGGGUUCCUGUCCAACGUUAAUCGGGGCAGGGUGAGUCGACCCCUAAGGCGAGGCCGAAAGGCGUAGUCGAUGGGAAACGGGUUAAUAUUCCCGUACUUGGUGUUACUGCGAAGGGGGGACGGAGAAGGCUAUGUUGGCCGGGCGACGGUUGUCCCGGUUUAAGCGUGUAGGUGUGUGUUCCAGGUAAAUCCGGUUCACUUUAACACUGAGGCGUGAUGACGAGGCACUACGGUGCUGAAGCAACAAAUGCCCUGCUUCCAGGAAAAGCCUCUAAGCAUCAGGUAACAUCAAAUCGUACCCCAAACCGACACAGGUGGUCAGGUAGAGAAUACCAAGGCGCUUGAGAGAACUCGGGUGAAGGAACUAGGCAAAAUGGUGCCGUAACUUCGGGAGAAGGCACGCUGACACGUAGGUGAAGUGAUUUACUCACGGAGCUGAAGUCAGUCGAAGAUACCAGCUGGCUGCAACUGUUUAUUAAAAACACAGCACUGUGCAAACACGAAAGUGGACGUAUACGGUGUGACGCCUGCCCGGUGCCGGAAGGUUAAUUGAUGGGGUCAGCGCAAGCGAAGCUCCUGAUCGAAGCCCCGGUAAACGGCGGCCGUAACUAUAACGGUCCUAAGGUAGCGAAAUUCCUUGUCGGGUAAGUUCCGACCUGCACGAAUGGCGUAAUGAUGGCCAGGCUGUCUCCACCCGAGACUCAGUGAAAUUGAACUCGCUGUGAAGAUGCAGUGUACCCGCGGCAAGACGGAAAGACCCCGUGAACCUUUACUAUAGCUUGACACUGAACAUUGAGCCUUGAUGUGUAGGAUAGGUGGGAGGCUUUGAAGUGUGGACGCCAGUCUGCAUGGAGCCGGCCUUGAAAUACCACCCUUUAAUGUUUGAUGUUCUAACGUGGACCCGUUACCCGGGUUGCGGACAGUGUCUGGUGGGUAGUUUGACUGGGGCGGUCUCCUCCUAAAGAGUAACGGAGGAGCACGAAGGUUGGCUAAUCCUGGUCGGACAUCAGGAGGUUAGUGCAAUGGCAUAAGCCAGCUUGACUGCGAGCGUGACGGCGCGAGCAGGUGCGAAAGCAGGUCAUAGUGAUCCGGUGGUUCUGAAUGGAAGGGCCAUCGCUCAACGGAUAAAAGGUACUCCGGGGAUAACAGGCUGAUACCGCCCAAGAGUUCAUAUCGACGGCGGUGUUUGGCACCUCGAUGUCGGCUCAUCACAUCCUGGGGCUGAAGUAGGUCCCAAGGGUAUGGCUGUUCGCCAUUUAAAGUGGUACGCGAGCUGGGUUUAGAACGUCGUGAGACAGUUCGGUCCCUAUCUGCCGUGGGCGCUGGAGAACUGAGGGGGGCUGCUCCUAGUACGAGAGGACCGGAGUGGACGCAUCACUGGUGUUCGGGUUGUCAUGCCAAUGGCACUGCCCGGUAGCUAAAUGCGGAAGAGAUAAGUGCUGAAAGCAUCUAAGCACGAAACUUGCCCCGAGAUGAGUUCUCCCUGAGACUUAGAGUCUCCUGAAGGAACGUUGAAGACGACGACGUUGAUAGGCCGGGUGUGUAAGCGCAGCGAUGCGUUGAGCUAACCGGUACUAAUGAACCGUGAGGCUUAACCUUACA
RNAcentral lists this ribosomal RNA (1658 nucleotides) under Salmonella enterica. Its description in RNAcentral is "partial 23S ribosomal RNA". It matches the Rfam family "Bacterial large subunit ribosomal RNA", at positions 1292 to 2925 of the family's 2925-position model. The record is from RNAcentral. Lineage: Bacteria; Pseudomonadati; Pseudomonadota; Gammaproteobacteria; Enterobacterales; Enterobacteriaceae.